This 497-nucleotide ribosomal RNA is filed under the name uncultured bacterium. Its description in RNAcentral is "partial 16S ribosomal RNA". It matches the Rfam family "Bacterial small subunit ribosomal RNA", at positions 28 to 507 of the family's 1533-position model. The record is from RNAcentral.
GACGAACGCUGGCGGCGUGCCUAAUACAUGCAAGUAGAACGCUGAAGAGAGGAGCUUGCUCUUCUUGGAUGAGUUGCGAACGGGUGAGUAACGCGUAGGUAACCUGCCUUGUAGCGGGGGAUAACUAUUGGAAACGAUAGCUAAUACCGCAUAACAAUGGAUGACACAUGUCAUUUAUUUGAAAGGGGCAAUUGCUCCACUACAAGAUGGACCUGCGUUGUAUUAGCUAGUAGGUGAGGUAAUGACUCACCUAGGCGACGAUACAUAGCCGACCUGAGAGGGUGAUCGGCCACACUGGGACUGAGACACGGCCCAGACUCCUACGGGAGGCAGCAGUAGGGAAUCUUCGGCAAUGGGGGCAAGUCUGACCGAGCAACGCCGCGUGAGUGAAGAAGGUUUUCGGAUCGUAAAGCUCUGUUGUAAGUCAAGAACGGGUGUGAGAGUGGAAAGUUCACACUGUGACGGUAGCUUACCAGAAAGGGACGGCUAACUACGUG